Molecule: transfer RNA, 77 nt
Filed under: Erysipelotrichia bacterium
Lineage: Bacteria; Bacillati; Bacillota; Erysipelotrichia
Description: tRNA-Arg
Rfam family: tRNA
About the family: Transfer RNA (tRNA) molecules are approximately 80 nucleotides in length. Their secondary structure includes four short double-helical elements and three loops (D, anti-codon, and T loops).
Source: RNAcentral
GCGUCCGUAGCUCAAUUGAAUAGAGCACUCGAUUCCGAUUCGAGCGGUUACGGGUUUGAUUCCUGCCGGGCGCACCA